RNAcentral lists this ribosomal RNA (571 nucleotides) under Halomonas sp. V4.MS.22. Its description in RNAcentral is "bacterial SSU rRNA". It matches the Rfam family "Bacterial small subunit ribosomal RNA", at positions 500 to 1070 of the family's 1533-position model. The record is from RNAcentral. Lineage: Bacteria; Pseudomonadati; Pseudomonadota; Gammaproteobacteria; Oceanospirillales; Halomonadaceae.
ACUCCGUGCCAGCAGCCGCGGUAAUACGGAGGGUGCAAGCGUUAAUCGGAACUACUGGGCGUAAAGCGCGCGUAGGUGGCUUGAUAAGCCGGUUGUGAAAGCCCCGGGCUCAACCUGGGAACGGCAUUCGGAACUGUCAAGCUAGAGUGCAGGAGAGGAAGGUAGAAUUCCCGGUGUAGCGGUGAACUGCGUAGAGAUCGGGAGGAAUACCAGUGGCGAAGGCGGCCUUCUGGACUGACACUGACACUGAGGUGCGAAAGCGUGGGUAGCAAACAGGAUUAGAUACCCUGGUAGUCCACGCCGUAAACGAUGUCGACCAGCCGUUGGGUGCCUAGCGCACUUUGUGGCGAAGUUAACGCGAUAAGUCGACCGCCUGGGGAGUACGGCCGCAAGGUUAAAACUCAAAUGAAUUGACGGGGGCCCGCACAAGCGGUGGAGCAUGUGGUUUAAUUCGAUGCAACGCGAAGAACCUUACCUACUCUUGACAUCCUGCGAAUUUGGUAGAGAUACCUUAGUGCCUUCGGGAACGCAGAGACAGGUGCUGCAUGGCUGUCGUCAGCUCGUGUUGUGA